CUGGAAUACAGAAUAACCAACUGCUAUAUACAUUGUGACAUUCAAAAUGGAUACAACAUAUUUACUAAUACUGGCAAUGAUAUGUGUAACAAUUUUAUUUCUUUACAAUGUCUUGUGGGACUGGACACCACCAAAUUAUCCUCCUGGACCCAAACCUUUACCACUGAUUGGAAAUCUCAACAUUCUGGAUAUAAAGAGACCAUAUUUAACACUAAUGGAG
Molecule: long non-coding RNA, 220 nt
Filed under: Pelobates cultripes (western spadefoot toad)
Lineage: Eukaryota; Metazoa; Chordata; Amphibia; Anura; Pelobatidae
Source: RNAcentral